Molecule: ribosomal RNA, 394 nt
Filed under: uncultured bacterium
Lineage: Bacteria
Description: bacterial SSU rRNA
Rfam family: Bacterial small subunit ribosomal RNA
Source: RNAcentral
AUUGAACGCUGGCGGCAUGCUUUACACAUGCAAGUCGAACGGUAACAGGGAGCUUGCUCCGCUGACGAGUGGCGAACGGGUGAGUAAUGCAUCGGAACGUACCCAGUCGUGGGGGAUAACGUAGCGAAAGUUACGCUAAUACCGCAUACGUCCUGAGGGAGAAAGCGGGGGACCGUAAGGCCUCGCGCGAUUGGAGCGGCCGAUGUCGGAUUAGCUAGUUGGUAGGGUAAAGGCCUACCAAGGCGACGAUCCGUAGCGGGUCUGAGAGGAUGAUCCGCCACACUGGGACUGAGACACGGCCCAGACUCCUACGGGAGGCAGCAGUGGGGAAUUUUGGACAAUGGGCGAAAGCCUGAUCCAGCCAUGCCGCGUGAGUGAAGAAGGCCUCGGUUGG